RNAcentral lists this long non-coding RNA (249 nucleotides) under Homo sapiens (human). RNAcentral's name for it is "non-protein coding lnc-MDM4-11:1". The stretch from base 7 to 79 matches the Rfam family "tRNA". Lineage: Eukaryota; Metazoa; Chordata; Mammalia; Primates; Hominidae. The record is from RNAcentral.
GGGAGCGCCCGGAUAGCUCAGUCGGUAGAGCAUCAGACUUUUAAUCUGAGGGUCCAGGGUUCAAGUCCCUGUUCGGGCGUUUGUAGUUUUCGUUACUUUAACCUGCUAAAUUAUCCCAUCAAGUCCCAAGAGCGGACAUCGUAAACCCUUACAUUUCAAGUUGAAUUCAAAUCAUUUUUCACUGGGUUCAGAAUAUGCUAGAUAGACGUGUUUUCAGGGAGGAAAAAAAAUGACUGAAAAGUCAUUUAA